UCCCAAAGUCAAACAAUUGCGUAUCAAAGACUGACUACAUUUUUGUUUGAAAGAAAUUUUAAGGAAUUACAAUUUCCUUUUUUAUGGGCAUGGGCCAUAUAUUCAUGAAAUUGCUCGGCAACAUUCCAAUGUUGAUCCAAUCAAACUGCUUGAGAAUUCUGUUUCUACCGAGUCGUCUCCAACAUUCCAACCAGCGUCUGGAGUCACCAUUUCCACUAU
Molecule: long non-coding RNA, 219 nt
Filed under: Elaeis guineensis (African oil palm)
Lineage: Eukaryota; Viridiplantae; Streptophyta; Magnoliopsida; Arecales; Arecaceae
Description: long non-coding RNA (EGUI_LNC025199)
Source: RNAcentral